RNAcentral lists this ribosomal RNA (2446 nucleotides) under human oral metagenome. Its description in RNAcentral is "bacterial LSU rRNA". It matches the Rfam family "Bacterial large subunit ribosomal RNA", at positions 503 to 2827 of the family's 2925-position model. The record is from RNAcentral.
GUGAGGGAAUGGUGAAAAGUACCCCGGGAGGGGAGUGAAAUAGUACCUGAAACCGGGCGCUUACAAGCCGUCAAAGCCCUUUAAGGGGUGAUGGCGUGCCUAUUGAAGAAUGAGCCUGCGAGUUAGUGGCGUGUCGCGAGGUUAACCCGUGUGGGGUAUCCGUAGCGAAAGCGAGUCUGAAAGGGCGGUUAGUGGCACGUUCUAGACCCGAAGCGGGGUGAUCUACCCAUGGCCAGGUUGAAGCACGUGUAAGAGCGUGUGGAGGACCGAACCCACCUAGGUUGAAAACUGGGGGGAUGAGCUGUGGAUAGGGGUGAAAGGCCAAUCAAACUCUGUGAUAGCUGGUUCUCCCCGAAAUGCAUUUAGGUGCAGCGUUACAUGUUUCUUGCUGGAGGUAGAGCUACUGGAUGGCCGAUGGGCCCGCGAGGGUUACUGACGUUAGCUAAACUCCGAAUGCCGGUAAGUGAGAGUGUAGCAGUGAGACAGUGGGGGAUAAGCUUCAUUGUCGAGAGGGAAACAGCCCAGACCAUCAACUAAGGCCCCUAAGCGUGUGCUAAGUGGGAAAGGAUGUGGAGUUGCUGAGACAACCAGGAGGUUGGCUUAGAAGCAGCCAUCCUUGAAAGAGUGCGUAAUAGCUCACUGGUCAAGUGAUUCUGCGCCGAUAAUGUAGCGGGGCUCAAGUACACCGCCGAAGUUGUGGCAAUCAGUCUUUGUGGCUGGUUGGGUAGGGGAGCGUCCUGCACGAGGUGAAGCUGCCACGGGAGUGUGUGGUGGAUUGUGUGGGAGUGAGAAUGCAGGCAUGAGUAGCGAAUCACGGGUGAGAAACCCGUGCGCCGGAUGAUCAAGGGUUCCAGGGUCAAGUUAAUCUGCCCUGGGUUAGUCGGGGCCUAAGGCGAGGCCGACAGGCGUAGUCGAUGGAGAACGGGUUGAUAUUCCCGUACCAGUGAAGGACCGUCCAUACUGAUAUUGUGAUGCUAACCAUGCCGAUCACGGUGUCAUGAAGUUUUUCUUUGUGGUGUUGUGGGGUGUGUGGGACCCAAGCUUUGGAGGUAAGCGUGUUAACAGGUGUGACGCAGGAAGGUAGCCAAGCCACGCGGUGGUUGUCGUGGUCUAAGCGUGUAGGAUGACUGGUUGUUAAAUGCGCCGGUUGUGUGUCUGAGACGUGAUGGGACCCCUUGUUUGUGGGGGAUUUGGUGAUCCUAUGCUGCCGAGAAAAGCAUCGGCGUGAGGUUUUAGCUGCCCGUACCCGAAACCGACACAGGUGAUCAGGUAGAGAAUACUAAGGCGAUCGAGAGAAUCAUGGUUAAGGAACUCGGCAAAAUGCCCCCGUAACUUCGGGAGAAGGGGGGCCCUGAGCGUGAUCUGCCCGUGCGGUGGGGAGCGUGUAGGGGUCGCAGAGACCAGGGGGAAGCGACUGUUUAUCAAAAACACAGGUCCGUGCGAAGUCGUAAGACGAGGUAUACGGACUGACUCCUGCCCGGUGCUGGAAGGUUAAGAGGAUUGGUUAGCCCUGUGUGGGCGAAGCUGAGAAUUUAAGCCCCAGUAAACGGCGGUGGUAACUAUAACCAUCCUAAGGUAGCGAAAUUCCUUGUCGGGUAAGUUCCGACCUGCACGAAUGGAGUAACGACUUCCCUACUGUCUCAACCAUGAACUCGGUGAAAUUGCAGUACGAGUAAAGAUGCUCGUUUCGCGCAGCAGGACGGAAAGACCCCGUGACCUUUACUAUAGUUUGGUAUUGGUGUUUGGGUUGGCUUGUGUAGGAUAGGUGGGAGACUGUGAAGCUGUCACGCUAGUGGUGGUGGAGUCGUUGUUGAAAUACCACUCUGGUCAAUCUGGAUGUCUAACUUCGGGCCAUGAUCUGGUUCAGGGACAGUGCCUGAUGGGUAGUUUAACUGGGGCGGUUGCCUCCUAAAGUGUAACGGAGGCGCCCAAAGGUUCCCUCAGCCUGGUUGGCAAUCAGGUGUUGAGUGUAAGUGCACAAGGGAGCUUGACUGUGAGAGUGGCGACUCGAGCAGGGACGAAAGUCGGGACUAGUGAUCCGGCAGUGGCUUGUGGAAGCGCUGUCGCUCAACGGAUAAAAGGUACCUCGGGGAUAACAGGCUGAUCUUGCCCAAGAGUCCAUAUCGACGGCAUGGUUUGGCACCUCGAUGUCGGCUCGUCGCAUCCUGGGGCUGGAGUCGGUCCCAAGGGUUGGGCUGUUCGCCCAUUAAAGCGGUACGCGAGCUGGGUUCAGAACGUCGUGAGACAGUUCGGUCCCUAUCCGCUGCGCGCGUUGGAGAAUUGAGAAAGGCUGUCCUUAGUACGAGAGGACCGGGACGGACGAACCUCUGGUAUGUCAGUUGUACCGCCAGGUGCAUGGCUGAUUGGCUACGUUCGGGAGGGAUAACCGCUGAAGGCAUCUAAGCGGGAAGCCUGUUUCGAGAUGAGUUCUCCUGGCACUCUUUGU